AUUGAACGCUGGCGGCAUGCCUUACACAUGCGAGUCGAACGGCAGCACGGGUGCUUGCUCCUGGUGGCGAGUGGCGAACGGGGGAGUAAUACAUCGGAACAUGUCCUGUAGUGGGGGAUAGCCCGGCGAAAGCCGGAUUAAUACCGCAUACGAUCCACGGAUGAAAGCGGGGGACCUGCGGGCCUCGCGCUAUAGGGUUGGCCGAUGGCUGAUUAGCUAGUUGGUGGGGUAAAGGCCUACCAAGGCGACGAUCAGUAGCUGGUCUGAGAGGACGACCAGCCACACUGGGACUGAGACACGGCCCAGACUCCUACGGGAGGCAGCAGUGGGGAAUUUUGGACAAUGGGCGAAAGCCUGAUCCAGCAAUGCCGCGUGUGUGAAGAAGGCCUUCGGGUUGUAAAGCACUUUUGUCCGGAAAGAAAUCCUUGGCUCUAAUACAGUCGGGGGAUGACGGUACCGGAAGAAUAAGCACCGGCUAACUACGUG
RNAcentral lists this ribosomal RNA (486 nucleotides) under uncultured bacterium. RNAcentral's name for it is "partial 16S ribosomal RNA". It matches the Rfam family "Bacterial small subunit ribosomal RNA", at positions 30 to 507 of the family's 1533-position model. The record is from RNAcentral.